AAUUUUAACAAAAUCGAUGGUUUCGUGCAAACGGAUUAAAAGGGAACGCUGUGAUAUCCAUGCGCUGGUUGGCACCAGUAAUGGAUUAAGUCAGAGACUGUGCCCGCAACUGUAGGCAGAGAUUUUUUCGGAUAUGUGUUUUAUUGUAAACAUAAAACAGUCACUGGUGCUGGCGUACCGGGAAGGCAGCCGAAAAAGAUAGAUCUGCAAGUCAGGAGACCUGCCAUCGUUGUUUCACCAUG
Molecule: non-coding RNA, 242 nt
Filed under: Acetobacter pasteurianus
Lineage: Bacteria; Pseudomonadati; Pseudomonadota; Alphaproteobacteria; Acetobacterales; Acetobacteraceae
Source: RNAcentral